This 139-nucleotide ribosomal RNA is filed under the name uncultured bacterium. Its description in RNAcentral is "partial 16S rRNA". It matches the Rfam family "Bacterial small subunit ribosomal RNA", at positions 355 to 511 of the family's 1533-position model. The record is from RNAcentral.
UGGGGAAUAUUGCACAAUGGGGGAAACCCUGAUGCAGCAACGCCGCGUGAGUGAUGAAGGUUUUCGGAUCGUAAAGCUCUGUCUUUGGGGAAGAUAAUGACGGUACCCAAGGAGGAAGCCACGGCUAACUACGUGCCGG